UACGUAGGUGGCAAGCGUUGUCCGGAAUUACUGGGUGUAAAGGGAGCGCAGGCGGGAAGCCAAGUCAGCUGUGAAAACUACGGGCUUAACUUGUAGACUGCAGUUGAAACUGGUUUUCUUGAGUGAAGUAGAGGUUGGCGGAAUUCCGAGUGUAGCGGUGAAAUGCGUAGAUAUUCGGAGGAACACCGGUGGCGAAGGCGGCCAACUGGGCUUUGACUGACGUUGAGGCUCGAAAGCGUGGGGAGCGAACAGG
RNAcentral lists this ribosomal RNA (253 nucleotides) under uncultured bacterium. Its description in RNAcentral is "partial 16S ribosomal RNA". It matches the Rfam family "Bacterial small subunit ribosomal RNA", at positions 524 to 776 of the family's 1533-position model. The record is from RNAcentral.